UACGGGAGUGGCAAGCGUUAUCCGGAAUUAUUGGGCGUAAAGGGAGCGCAGGCGGUUCAUUAAGUUAGGCGUGAAAGCCCCGGGCUCAACCUGGGAACUGCAUUCCAAACUGUCAAACUAGAGUGUGGUAGAGGGAGGUAGAAUUUCCUGUGUAGCGGUGAAAUGCGUAGAUAUAGGAAGGAAUACCGAUGGCGAAGGCAGCCUCCUGGACCAACACUGACGCUGAGGUGCGAAAGCGUGGGGAGCAAACAGG
RNAcentral lists this ribosomal RNA (253 nucleotides) under uncultured bacterium. Its description in RNAcentral is "partial 16S ribosomal RNA". It matches the Rfam family "Bacterial small subunit ribosomal RNA", at positions 524 to 776 of the family's 1533-position model. The record is from RNAcentral.